AGCUUUGCGCAGUGGCAAUAUUGUAGCCAAUGAGGUUUAUCUGAGGCAUGAUUAUUGCUAAUUGGAAGUAUU
This 72-nucleotide small nuclear RNA is filed under the name Canis lupus familiaris (dog). RNAcentral's name for it is "U4 spliceosomal RNA". It matches the Rfam family "U4 spliceosomal RNA", at positions 1 to 72 of the family's 138-position model. Rfam says of the family: U4 small nuclear RNA (U4 snRNA) is a component of the major U2-dependent spliceosome. The structure of U4 snRNA from yeast and human has been reported. U4 snRNA presents a k-turn RNA motif in the 5p-SL related to recognition of Snu13 protein. The record is from Rfam by way of RNAcentral. RNAcentral also lists the same sequence under 1 other name. Lineage: Eukaryota; Metazoa; Chordata; Mammalia; Carnivora; Canidae.